UUUUAUAAUAACAAUAAAAAAAAUGUGAUAAACAAAUUUUUUUGGGAAUAAAGCUAAUAUAUCUCUCAAAACUUCUGAAAUAUCUUUUAUAUUCUUAUUUUUUUUAAUUUCAAAUAUACGCCUCGUAAAUUACUCCAUUAUUCAAAAAUAAUCCAGCUAUUAAUACCCAUUCAGUCAUCUUAGGUUAAAUCCGGGUUAAAUUUCUAUCCAAGUUAAAAAAAAGUAAAAAUAUCUCUUUUGCUCCUAACUUAAGUGCAAACAAAAAAGUUAGUGAUUAUAGAAGGAUAUAUUAGAAGGAAUAAAAUAGUUAUUUUACAAAAAUAAUAAUUGUUCUUCACUAACAGAAAAGUGUAAAGGAUAUAUUUGAAAUAACUUGAAACAUUAAAAGAAUAUUUUAAUAUUAAUCUUCUAAAAAAGAUAAAUAAGAAUGUGUUAAUUUUACUUAUACCCUUCAAAAGGUUGAAUAUCGUAAAUGUCCUUACAAAAUCAGUAAUAUCAUGAUUAUCGAUCUAAAUAUAUACAUACUUUCAAUUUCAAAUUUACCCUUACUUGCAAAUUUCGUUAAAUAUUGUGAUUUUUUCAUUGGAUUAAAAAUUAAAUUAUCGGUUUUGCCUGUAACGCUAUUUGAUGUUGAAGGUCAGAAUGAUAAAAUAUAUAAUCAACCCCCUCAACUAUAGACCAUUUUGAAGAAGGUACCUAAUUUUUUAAUUGAAGAGU
This 717-nucleotide long non-coding RNA is filed under the name Ananas comosus (pineapple). RNAcentral describes it as "long non-coding RNA (ACOM_LNC007452)". Lineage: Eukaryota; Viridiplantae; Streptophyta; Magnoliopsida; Poales; Bromeliaceae. The record is from RNAcentral.